Molecule: ribosomal RNA, 541 nt
Filed under: uncultured bacterium
Lineage: Bacteria
Description: bacterial SSU rRNA
Rfam family: Bacterial small subunit ribosomal RNA
Source: RNAcentral
UGGGGAAUCUUGGACAAUGGGGGCAACCCUGAUCCAGCCAUGCCGCGUGAGUGAUGAAGGCCUUAGGGUCGUAAAGCUCUUUCGCCUGUGAAGAUAAUGACGGUAGCAGGUAAAGAAACCCCGGCUAACUCCGUGCCAGCAGCCGCGGUAAUACGGAGGGGGCUAGCGUUGUUCGGAAUUACUGGGCGUAAAGCGCGCGUAGGCGGACUGAUCAGUCAGGGGUGAAAUCCCGGGGCUCAACCCCGGAACUGCCUUUGAUACUGUCAGUCUUGAGUCCGGAAGAGGCGAGUGGAAUUCCAAGUGUAGAGGUGAAAUUCGUAGAUAUUUGGAGGAACACCAGUGGCGAAGGCGGCUCACUGGCUCGAUACUGACGCUGAGGUGCGAAAGUGUGGGGAGCAAACAGGAUUAGAUACCCUGGUAGUCCACGCCGUAAACGAUGUCUGCUAGUCGUUGGGGGAGCAUAGCUCUUCGGUGACGCAGCUAACGCAUUAAGCAGACCGCCUGGGAGUACGGCCGCAAGGUUAAAACUCAAAGGAAUUGA